GCGGGUAUAACUCAGUGGUAGAGUGCUAGCUUCCCAAGCUAAUAGUCGCGAGUUCGAAUCUCGUUACCCGCUCCA
This 75-nucleotide transfer RNA is filed under the name Candidatus Celaenobacter polaris. RNAcentral describes it as "tRNA-Gly". It matches the Rfam family "tRNA". From Rfam's summary of the family: Transfer RNA (tRNA) molecules are approximately 80 nucleotides in length. The record is from RNAcentral. Lineage: Bacteria; Pseudomonadati; Candidatus Cloacimonadota; Cloacimonadia (SeqCode).